This is a long non-coding RNA of Aphis gossypii (cotton aphid), 493 nucleotides long. RefSeq lists it as uncharacterized. The transcript is spliced from 3 exons. NCBI's taxonomy places the organism in Eukaryota, Metazoa, Arthropoda, Insecta, Hemiptera, Aphididae. The record is from RefSeq and is a predicted model, not a curated record.
UGUGUAGUGAUAUUAUUGCUACAUAGCGACGGAUAUAUUAUUAUUAUUAUAGAACUCGAUUUUUUCUUUUAUAGGAUGGGGAUUACAAAGGUCUGCCAGCUUAAUUACGGAAGUAUCUAAAAUAUUAUAUCGUUUGAACUAUUUGAAGGGAACCUGUUAAGAGCGUAUUGUUCCCCAAUCUCUAUAUAACAUUUGUUUAACAAUGGCUGCAUUGCGUGGGUUGUAUACUGCUUAACAGUAGUAGAUAAAGGAGCUAUGGAGACGUCUGGCCACUUCUAAGUUCAAAGGAUUUGCGGAAUAGGUACUUUGGCGUGAAACAUCUGGUCUAGACGAUCGACCGAAACGGAAUUUUGUCUUUACGGUGGUUUAAUAAUAAUAACACACACAUAACCCACCGCAUCAAAAUCUCGUAAAGAUUGGGCGAUACGAAAGUGUUAAUAGUUAACCUACCAACGCUGCGGUUUUACUCUAUCCAUACAUAAUAUUAAACGUC